Molecule: ribosomal RNA, 1395 nt
Filed under: uncultured bacterium
Lineage: Bacteria
Description: 16S ribosomal RNA
Rfam family: Bacterial small subunit ribosomal RNA
Source: RNAcentral
AGAGUUUGAUCCUGGCUCAGGAUGAACGCUAGCGGCAGGCUUAACACAUGCAAGUCGAGGGGCAGCGGGGAGUAGCAAUACUCUGCCGGCGACCGGCGAAAGGGUGCGUAACGCGUGAGCAACUUGCCCGUAUCUGGGACAUAAGCGAUGGAAACGCCGUCUAAUUUCCCAUAACAACAGAGGCCGCAUGACCUUUGUUUGAAAGAUCCGUCGGAUACGGAUGGGCUCGCGAGACAUUAGCUAGUUGGUGUGGUAACGGCACACCAAGGCGACGAUGUCUAGGGGUUCUGAGAGGAAGGUCCCCCACACUGGAACUGAGACACGGUCCAGACUCCUACGGGAGGCAGCAGUGAGGAAUAUUGGUCAAUGGACGCAAGUCUGAACCAGCCAUGCCGCGUGAAGGAUUGAGGCCCUAUGGGUUGUAAACUUCUUUUGUGGUGGAGCAAUAAGGCGUACGUGUACGCCGAUGAGAGUACAUCACGAAUAAGCAUCGGCUAACUCCGUGCCAGCAGCCGCGGUAAUACGGAGGAUGCGAGCGUUAUCCGGAUUUAUUGGGUUUAAAGGGUGCGUAGGCGGACGUUCAAGUCGGCGGUCAAAUGGGCGGGCUCGACCCGUUCCCGCCGUCGAAACUGGGCGACUUGAGUAGGAGAGGGGCACGCGGAAUGCGCGGUGUAGCGGUGAAAUGCAUAGAUAUCGCGCAGAACUCCGAUCGCGAAGGCAGCGUGCCGGCUCCUCACUGACGCUGAAGCACGAAAGCGUGGGGAUCGAACAGGAUUAGAUACCCUGGUAGUCCACGCAGUAAACGAUGAGCACUAGGUGUGCGGCCGGAUUGGGGCUGCGUGCCACAGCGAAAGCGUUAAGUGCUCCACCUGGGGAGUACGCCGGCAACGGUGAAACUCAAAGGAAUUGACGGGGGCCCGCACAAGCGGAGGAACAUGUGGUUUAAUUCGAUGAUACGCGAGGAACCUUACCCGGGCUCGAACGGCGGGGGACGGGCACUGAAAAGUGCCUUCACGCGAGUGUCCCCGCCGAGGUGCUGCAUGGUUGUCGUCAGCUCGUGCCGUGAGGUGUCGGCUUAAGUGCCAUAACGAGCGCAACCCCCGCCGGCAGUUGCUAACGGGCAAUGCCGAGGACUCUGCCGGGACUGCCGGCGCAAGCCGCGAGGAAGGCGGGGAUGACGUCAAAUCAGCACGGCCCUUACGUUCGGGGCGACACGCGUGUUACAAUGGCGGGUACAGCGGGAAGCGACCGUGCGAGCGGGAGCGGAGCCCGAAAACCCGUCUCAGUUCGGAUCGGAGUCUGCAACCCGACUCCGUGAAGCUGGAUUCGCUAGUAAUCGCGCAUCAGCCAUGGCGCGGUGAAUACGUUCCCGGGCCUUGCACACACCGCCCGUCA